AGGUCCCCACUGUAGCGGCCGUCAAGGAACUGAAUCCCGCCAGUGAGCAUCUGGUAAAAUGUGGGAGAGAUCGUUGCAGCAGAGAACUGAGCACGGUCUCCAUUCACCAUUCGGCAAGGAAGCAAGGUCCCCACUGUAGCGGCCGUCAAGGAACUGAAUCCCGCCAGUGAGCAUCUGGUAAAAUGUGGGAGAGAUCGUUGCAGCAGAGAACUGAGCACGGUCUCCAUUCACCAUUCGGCAAGGAAGCAAGGUCCCCACUGUAGCGGCCGUCAAGGAACUGAAUCCCGCCAGUGAGCAUCUGGUAAAAUGUGGGAGAGAUCGUUGCAGCAGAGAACUGAGCACGGUCUCCAUUCACCAUUCGGCAAGGAAGCAAGGUCCCCACUGUAGCGGCCGUCAAGGAACUGAAUCCCGCCAGUGAGCAUAUGCUCCACUAUUUAUACUGGAGACCAUGAACAAAGGAAGAAAAUGGCACAAAACACAGAGGAUUUGCAUGGAACCAACAGAAUUUGCUCCUCUCACCAUGGCUGUCUCUGCUGAAUGUACUGUUUGUCAGCAGCAGAGACUUAUGUCAAACCCUUAAUAGGGUAGCAUACCUUCUG
Molecule: long non-coding RNA, 599 nt
Organism: Neogale vison (American mink)
Lineage: Eukaryota; Metazoa; Chordata; Mammalia; Carnivora; Mustelidae
Exons: 5
Source: RefSeq, a predicted model, not a curated record